UACGAAGGGGGCUAGCGUUGUUCGGAAUUACUGGGCGUAAAGGGCGCGUAGGCGGUGCCUCAAGUCGCGUGUGAAAGCCCCCGGCUCAACUGGGGAGGGUCACGCGAUACUGAUUGACUCGAAGGCAGGAGAGGGUAGUGGAAUUCCCGGUGUAGUGGUGAAAUGCGUAGAUAUCGGGAGGAACACCAGUGGCGAAGGCGACUACCUGGCCUGUUCUUGACGCUGAGGCGCGAAAGCUAGGGGAGCAAACGGG
RNAcentral lists this ribosomal RNA (253 nucleotides) under uncultured bacterium. RNAcentral's name for it is "partial 16S ribosomal RNA". It matches the Rfam family "Bacterial small subunit ribosomal RNA", at positions 524 to 776 of the family's 1533-position model. The record is from RNAcentral.